GAUGAAUGCUGGCGGCGUGCCUAACACAUGCAAGUCGAGCGGCAGCGCAGGUAGUUUACUACCUGGCGGCGAGCGGCGGACGGCUGAGUAACGCGUGGGAACAUGCCCCAAAGUGAGGAAUAACUGCCCGAAAGGGUAGCUAAUGCCGCAUAUGGUCUUCGGAUUAAAGGAUUUAUCCGCUUUGGGAGUGGCCUGCGUACGAUUAGAUAGUUGGUGAGGUAAUGGCUCACCAAGUCGACGAUCGUUAACUGGUCUGAGAGGAUGAUCAGUCAGACUGGAACUGAGACACGGUCCAGACUCCUACGGGAGGCAGCAGUGAGGAAUCUUCCACAAUGGGCGAAAGCCUGAUGGAGCAACGCCGCGUGCAGGAUGAAGGCCUUCGGGUCGUAAACUGCUUUUAUGAGUGAAGAAUAUGACUGUAACUCAUGAAUAAGCACCGGCUAACUACGUGCCAGCAGCCGCGGUA
This 466-nucleotide ribosomal RNA is filed under the name uncultured bacterium. Its description in RNAcentral is "partial 16S ribosomal RNA". It matches the Rfam family "Bacterial small subunit ribosomal RNA", at positions 28 to 522 of the family's 1533-position model. The record is from RNAcentral.